Molecule: long non-coding RNA, 5415 nt
Organism: Motacilla alba alba
Lineage: Eukaryota; Metazoa; Chordata; Aves; Passeriformes; Motacillidae
Exons: 5
Source: RefSeq, a predicted model, not a curated record
UGUGUGUGUGUGUUUAUGUUUGUGUGUGUGUGUUUGUGUGAGUGUGUGUUUCUGUUUGUGUUUGUGUCGCACCCUCCGGGACACCGGGUUCCCGUGGCACACUUACCCCCCUGUGAACAAACACACGGACCCAUUAUAAGCAUAUAAAUAUGCGCUGUCCUCAUGUGCCGUCCCUCACAGCAUCACGGUAUAUAUAAGGACUUACGGAACCAGCCGGGUUUGUGCCCUGGAAGCAGAUGAUUUUCAGCUGCAGGAAAAACGGGUCCUCAGAGAUGCACAUAAGCAGUUUUUGGAACAAAGGUUAUGCCCUGCAUCUGUCAGUUCUUGAGUCAUCUGGGAGCUGGGAAGACAGCCAGGAAAGAUCUGGGAAGACACAUUCAAAUGGUGGUAUCAGAUACUGUGCUAUAAAGAGCAGCAAUGCACUGUGACUGUCUGCAAGGCUUGGAAUGAAAGGAAUGAAGUGGGGCUAAUUCCAGGAAGCUGCAAUCACUGCUCUGGGUAACACACUGGUUCUGUUGUCUCAGAUUUUGCAGGAAGUGUUGCAGGCAGGAGCAAAGAUGGGGAGGCAAAGACUAUGGCUUACCUUGAGCAAGGUGAAAUCUGCUUCCAGCACAGAGAUGGGGAAAGAACCACAUUUUCUGUUUUCAUCAAGAGGACUGCAGUUCAAAAGAAUACUGUGUGGCUUGCAUGUGACUCUUCUAUCUCUGAAGGUCUGUAUCAAACCAGGAGGUCAGGAUGCAGUGAUUUCAGUGGCUUUAUUUUGUUGGAGGAAGAGAAGCAAGGAUGAGAAACAUCAAAGGGAGCAGCAGAGUGACAGGGGCUGUGAGGAAUGGCUGGUUGGGCACGUGUGUUGGGGUUUAUCAGCCAUGCAGAUGCCAUCUGAAGGAAAAGCAACAGAAGAAUAACCAGACUGAGUGGAUUUUGCUUCUCCUUCUGGAGAGACUUUUCUGUGAAUCUUUCAGGGGAGAGAGGACCUGAAAUCUCUAUAUCCUAUCACAUAAGACAGUUACCAUUCACUGUAACUAUCUGGAAAUGAGUAUAACUAUGUGGAAUGAGUAUUCUUUCCCUGGAAAUGAGUAUACCUGGUGCAAAAGCCCUCAAACCACUGACACACAAUAUAAAUUAAAGCUUGCAGCUUUAACUAAGAGAACUUCAAGAAGAGAGCACCAAGGUCAUGAAUUCAAGGAUUUUGAGUUAAGAAAUGUGGGAGUUUAGACACACAUAGAAUAUGUGCAGUUCUAGCCUGGCCAGCACAAAUCUGGUAAUAAAUAAAUUAUAGGAAAAUUUGUGUAAAGGGUCAGACUAAACAAACGUAAAAUGAGUCAUCUGUUGUUUAAAUGCUUUUGAUAUGAUAAGAACUUUAGAUUUUGAUCAGUAAAUACACUGAAGGAACUUUAUAUGAACCUGGCUGCAUUAAACUGAAUUUUCAAAAUUACUCAAAUAAAGGAUAGGCCAAUUUUAGCAAUAAACUUCAGCUUCUUUUGGAAAUAAGACUUUAAUGCUGUGAUAUUAAUCUUGCAAGCAUAUUUUUAUUCCCCAAAUAAAACUAGAAAGAACGAAAAGAAACUACAAUAUGAAGAAAUUGGAACUGAAGAAUUAAAUGACUUUGCCAAAAAUGCUGAGUAUGAACAUUCUGUGUGGAUUUUCCAUGUCAUCUGGAGGUAACAGACUGCCCAAGGGGCUUUUCUCAGUAUGCACCUUGGCUAUCAACUAGAAAUUAUAAAACACAAAAUUAUUCCUAUGGGUAAAAACUGACCUGUAGUAGUUCUUUGUAAUCUCACAAUAUUCUUUUGGGAAUGAAAUAUAAAAUGGAGACGCAAUUCUGUGUUCUUACAUGUGUGAAACCUUAAAGGAGCCAUUUCUCUACAGUGUGCAUUUUCAUUUCUAUCCAGUGUUCAAUAUUUUAUGUAACAUUUACUAGGAGCAGUGCUAAAAGGAGUAAAUUUUACUACAUUAUUUCUUUCUCUUUCGUUCUUAUCUGCUAUCAGCAUUCUUAGUACAACUCUUUAAUUUGUCUGUUCUACAGAGUUCUGCUUUGAUUGGAUUUUGAUAUUAGCUGAAAUAAGUCAACUCCAGCCACUCUUCUGUUGUCAGCUAUGCCUUCAUGUUCUGAUUUGCAGCAUAAAAACAUGCAGGUUUUUUUUUAAUUUUAGAAGAUUCAUAGUGUUUAAAACAUUGAUAACUUAGGGUUUUCUUUUGAUAUCAAACAAAUAAUUGUUUUCUCAUCCUUCCAAUAGAAUUCUCUAUAGUUUUGAAUGAUAGCUGAGUCCUGUGGUCUUUUAAAGAUGGCAAGAGUUAUACAUUACCUCUUUUUCAGAUUAAUUUUGCGGGUAAAAGCGUAGAUAGGAUCUUGGUGGGGAUGAAUUAUAAAAUUAAGGGACUGCUUCAGCCAUAUCUUUUUUCCUUUUCCUUUUUUCCUUUUUUCCUUUUCCAGCAGCUGCCUUAAAUAUAAGCAGUGGUGUGUACUCUGACAAAGCUUUUGUGCUUGUAAAGCAGGGAAUAUUGUUUGUCCCAGAGCUGAGUCACAUACGUUAGUGAUGAGCAUGAAGAAACUUGAGAAGGCAGAAAACCAGGUAUCUUAUAAAAAUAGGCUUUUCCCACCAUAUACUUUUUGUGUGUGUGUGAUUACCUCUAAAUCUCAUAUCCAAGGUUAAAUCAGAUCUUUCUAAAGCCAUCUUUGUACUAUUUUUAAAAAUUUAUUUGUGUUUCAAACCUACACAGGAAAAUUUUUGUUGAGAAAGAUAAAUGGCGCUGUAUUAAAAAAACAAACCAAAACACGACUGAUUCGAACAGCAAUUUUUCUCAUGCUCAGAGUUUAUGAAACUAUCUUCUGACAAAGUACUCUGACUUCCCUGCAGUUGACAAAUAAAUAGGCAUUUUACAAAUAUUAUGUGGAAUGUAUGAGCUAAUAUCAAUUAAUAGGUUGCCAAGUUAGAAUUUUUAAUUGUGUUCAGAGUUAUUUAAUUGACUUCAUAAAUUUCAAGUAAAAAAGAGCUGAAGCAUACGAUCCAAAACAUGCUAAUAAAAAAUCUCAAUUAGCUGUCAGAGAGUUUGGUCUACACAUGCAGUGCUGUGGUUGUCAACAAAAUUGUAGUAAAAAACAAACCACAUUGUACUCCUGAGCAAGGGAAAACAGCUUUUCUUAAUCAAUACUGAUCUAUAUGGUGAACAUGACACAAAAGGUACUCUGGAAGAAGGGGUAGAUGGUUGUUAAGAUUCCUCUCUGCAAGCCUUUUAAAUCUUUUUUUCCGUGGAAGGUUUAAGAUCAGUUAAAUAUUGUAAUUUGCUGUACAAGGGUAUAGUAAAAAGGUGAUAUAGAUAUUUUUGAGGCUCAGAAGUCAGUCACAGUUCUACUACUACAGACUUUCCAAAAAGGGCACCCCAGCUGUUCCAACUUAUAUCUGAGGUAAAGCAAGGAGAUGGCCAAGGCUGAGGAAAGGACUUUCAUUUUUGCUGUUACAGAUGUUGAGUCAAGAGUUGGAGAUAUUUCAUGUGUCCUCCAAACUGUGGUGAAUUUCAUGAGGCAAAAGAAGGGGGAAAUCAAAGCUCUCUAGGGCCAACAAUUUGAGGAAUUUAUAGCCCCUGUUAAAAUCCCAAUGCUGGACGACUCUCAGGGACUGGAAUUUAUCACUCUGUUGUAUUGGGCUGUUUGUGUGAGAUAAGAUGAAGCCAAGAGGCCAAUUUUUAAUUGAACAAUAGUUUUCACAAAUCAUUUUAAAUGAACUUUGCUUUCAGCCUCAGCACACACAAAAUACAAUGAACCAUUGCAGCUCUAUUUACACUUUUUCCUUUGGAACCAAACUUCUCAUCACUGCCAUGAGUACUUGGAAAAAUGAAAGCCACAAGAUUUCGAUGAUCAAAUAAAUUCAGCUUUACAUUGCCUCAAAGCUGAUACCAGGACUGACAUAUUUUCUCAAAUGCAUUUAUACAUUUAUAUUAUUUAUAUAUAUGCAUAUAUAUUUUCUUUCUCACCUGAGUAAGAAAAGCAGAGAUGCCUAGGGCUGAAAAAUGCAACUACCAAAUUGGCUUAGCAUUCAUUUGUAAGUAAAUGAGUACAGUGUGGACAGACAUUUUCCUUCCAUUUUAUCAAGACUGCCUUUGAUUUGUGCCAACCCAGUUGGAAUAUAGUCUUUCAUCAUAUUUGUGUGCUACUCCUGUCCAUCAUUUCACUAUGGAUUGUAUUUUCCAAGAGUGAUCUGCUGUGUGAGCACAGAUAAUCACCUGCUUCAUGAAUAAGACAAUAAUUUCCCUAAUUAAAAGGGAAAAGGAAAGGGAACAUGGGCUAAUUUAGGGGGAAAAGGGGGUCAUCCACUUGAACAGGUUGCCCAGAGGUCUUGUGGGGCAUCCAUCCUUGGGGAUACACAAAACCUGACUUGACAGAUCCCUGAGCAACCUGCUCUGGGUGACCCUGACAUGAGCAAGGGCUUGGACUAGGUGGUCGGUCUCCCAAGAUCUCUUCCCAUCUCAACUAUUCUGUGAGACUGUCCAGGCCAAACUCCAAAAUGGAAUUGAAAUAAUAUUGUCUAAUUUCUAUAUGUAACCAGCCUGUAAUUUGAUUUCUGAUCCACCUGUUUAAGGCAUGGGCAAAUUCAUAUUGCAAUUGUAAUUGAAAAAAGUUAGGUCUGUAACACAAAUCAGGUUUUACAAAUACUCUUUUUUUUGCAGAAACUCUAUUAAAUAUAUAUGCUUUAAGGAAAAUAAUUGACUGUAAGAAGCUAGUAGCAGAAAAGAAAGUGCUAUCAGGAGAUUUUGAUGCAAUGCCAUUCUUGAUUAUGUUUAUUGAGAUUUGUUUAAUAAACUGAUCUACCUAUUUUCAUCCCAUCUAAUUAAAAUUAAUUACAAGAGGAGUAAUUAUGCUUGUAGUCAGAUUGCUACACUGAGCAGAUUAUUUACUUGAGUUCUAAUUUUACAGCUGUAUCUGAUUUUGCAGUAUUGGAUUUUAAUAUGUGGAUGCUCAUCUUCUUGCAGCUUCUGAAAUGAAAUUACUUAUGUCAUGUGUGAUUACUGAGACUUUCAAGAGUCAUUUUGGUCGAGAGUGAGACAAUUUUCCACUUUACUAUGGAAAGAUGGAAUUUAAACUGAGGAGAUUGCUGUAUUGGAAAUAUAUGCUUAGUUAAGUUACUGUCCUUUGAAUAGAACUAGAAUAGUAAUUUUAUGAACAUAUAUCUGUGCCACUGGCUUAGGCUGGGCAAAUAGAGAAAUAACUGUUCAGUUUCAAAAAAGGACAUUUGAAAAUUGCCAGAAGAUUGAAAUCAGUGGGGAUGGCUUCAUCAUGUUUCGUGCAAGGAAGUGGUGUGCUCCUACUAAUACAACAGUUUGUUUAUAUCUAUUUAUAAAUAUGUGGCAUAUAUUUCAUUAAAAGUCUUAAUGGUUUAAAAAUAAGAUGUGGGUUUGGCUAAAUGAAACAGGUUCAGC